Podarcis lilfordi (Lilford's wall lizard) is the source of this 76-nucleotide non-coding RNA. Lineage: Eukaryota; Metazoa; Chordata; Lepidosauria; Squamata; Lacertidae. The record is from the annotation of a GenBank genome assembly.
UUUAAAAUAGCUCAGUAGGUAAAGCAGGAGACUCUUAAUCUCAGGGUCCUGAAUUCAAGCCCCACGUUGGGCAAAA